RNAcentral lists this ribosomal RNA (459 nucleotides) under uncultured bacterium. RNAcentral's name for it is "partial 16S ribosomal RNA". It matches the Rfam family "Bacterial small subunit ribosomal RNA", at positions 338 to 795 of the family's 1533-position model. The record is from RNAcentral.
CCUACGGGUGGCAGCAGUGAGGAAUAUUGGUCAAUGGUCGGGAGACUGAACCAGCCAAGCCGCGUGAGGGAUGAAGGUACAGAGUAUCGUAAACCUCUUUUGUCAGGGAACAAAGGCGGGGACGUGUCCCCGGAUGAGUGUACCUGAAGAAAAAGCAUCGGCUAACUCCGUGCCAGCAGCCGCGGUAAUACGGAGGAUGCGAGCGUUAUCCGGAUUUAUUGGGUUUAAAGGGUGCGUAGGCGGAAGGUUAAGUCAGCGGUCAAAUGUCGGUGCUCAACACCGGCCUGCCGUUGAAACUGGUCUUCUUGAGUGAGCGAGAAGUAUGCGGAAUGCGUGGUGUAGCGGUGAAAUGCAUAGAUAUCACGCAGAACUCCGAUUGCGAAGGCAGCAUACCGGCGCUCAACUGACGCUGAGGCACGAAAGCGUGGGGAUCGAACAGGAUUAGAUACCCUAGUAGUC